AACGAACGCUGGCGGCAUGCCUAACACAUGCAAGUCGAACGAGACCUUCGGGUCUAGUGGCGCACGGGUGCGUAACGCGUGGGAACCUGCCCUUAGGUUCGGAAUAACUCCCCGAAAGGGGUGCUAAUACCGGAUAAUGUCUUCGGACCAAAGAUUUAUCGCCUUUGGAUGGGCCCGCGUUGGCUUAGCUAGUUGGUAGGGUAAAAGCCUACCAAGGCGACGAUCCAUAGCUGGUCUGAGAGGAUGAUCAGCCACACUGGGACUGAGACACGGCCCAGACUCCUACGGGAGGCAGCAGUGGGGAAUAUUGGACAAUGGGCGAAAGCCUGAUCCAGCAAUGCCGCGUGAGUGAUGAAGGUCUUAGGGUUGUAAAGCUCUUUUACACGGGAUGAUAAUGACAGUACCGGGAGAAUAAGCUCCGGCUAACUCCGUG
This 433-nucleotide ribosomal RNA is filed under the name uncultured bacterium. RNAcentral's name for it is "partial 16S ribosomal RNA". It matches the Rfam family "Bacterial small subunit ribosomal RNA", at positions 29 to 507 of the family's 1533-position model. The record is from RNAcentral.